GGCGUAGGCGGCUUGCCAAGUCGAAUGUAAAAUCUCCUGGCUUAACUGGGAGGGACCAUACGAUACUGGCAGGCUUGAGGACAACGGAGGGAGGUAGAAUUCCCGGUGUAGUGGUGAAAUGCGUAGAUAUCGGGAGGAAUACCAGUGGCGAAGGCGGCCUCCCAUGUUGUUUCUGACGCUGUUGCCCAAAAGUGUGGGGAGCAAACAGGAUUAGAUACCCUGGUAGUCCACACCGUAAACUAUGAACACUAGGUAUGGGGAGUAUCGACCCUCUCCGUGCCGUAGUUAACGCGUUAAGUGUUCCGUCUGGGAAGUACGGCCGCAAGGCUAA
This 331-nucleotide ribosomal RNA is filed under the name uncultured bacterium. RNAcentral describes it as "bacterial SSU rRNA". It matches the Rfam family "Bacterial small subunit ribosomal RNA", at positions 568 to 897 of the family's 1533-position model. The record is from RNAcentral.